CCUACGGGUGGUAGCAGUGAGGAAUAUUGGUCAAUGGGCUUACGCCUGAACCAGCCAAGUCGCGUGAGGGAAGACUGCCCUAUGGGUUGUAACCCUCUUUUGUCAGGGAGCAACGCCGGCUACGUGUAGCCGGACUGAGAGUACCUGAAGAAAAAGCAUCGGCUAACUCCGUGCCAGCGGCCCCGGUAUUAGGGGGGAUGCGAGCGUUAUCCGGAUUUAUUGGGUUAAAGGGGUGCGUAGGGGGAAUGCCAUGGCAGCGGUAAAAUCACGGGGCUCAACCACGGCCCGCCGUUGAAACUGGCGUUCUUGAGUGCGCGAGAGGUAUGCGGAAUGCGUGGUGUAGCGGUGAAAUGCGUAGAUAUAACGAAGAACUCCGGUGGCGAAGGCAGCAUACCGGCGCCCAACUGACGCUGAAGCACGAAAGCGUGGGUAUCGAACAGGAUUAGAUACCCGAGUAGUC
This 460-nucleotide ribosomal RNA is filed under the name uncultured bacterium. RNAcentral describes it as "partial 16S ribosomal RNA". It matches the Rfam family "Bacterial small subunit ribosomal RNA", at positions 338 to 795 of the family's 1533-position model. The record is from RNAcentral.